UACGUAGGGUGCAAGCGUUGUCCGGAAUUAUUGGGCGUAAAGAGCUCGUAGGCGGUCUGUCGCGUCUGCUGUGAAAACUCAGGGCUUAACCCUGAGCUUGCAGUGGGUACGGGCAGACUAGAGUGCGGUAGGGGAGACUGGAAUUCCUGGUGUAGCGGUGAAAUGCGCAGAUAUCAGGAAGAACACCAAUGGCGAAGGCAGCUCUCUGGGACGGUACUGACACUGAGACGCGAAAGCGUGGGGAGCGAACAGG
This 253-nucleotide ribosomal RNA is filed under the name uncultured bacterium. Its description in RNAcentral is "partial 16S ribosomal RNA". It matches the Rfam family "Bacterial small subunit ribosomal RNA", at positions 524 to 776 of the family's 1533-position model. The record is from RNAcentral.